GAUGAACGCCGGCGGUGUGCCUAAUACAUGCAAGUCGUACGCACUGGCCCAACUGAUUGAUGGUGCUUGCACCUGAUUGACGAUGGAUCACCAGUGAGUGGCGGACGGGUGAGUAACACGUAGGUAACCUGCCCCGGAGCGGGGGAUAACAUUUGGAAACAGAUGCUAAUACCGCAUAACAACAAAAGCCACAUGGCUUUUGUUUGAAAGAUGGCUUUGGCUAUCACUCUGGGAUGGACCUGCGGUGCAUUAGCUAGUUGGUAAGGUAACGGCUUACCAAGGCGAUGAUGCAUAGCCGAGUUGAGAGACUGAUCGGCCACAAUGGAACUGAGACACGGUCCAUACUCCUACGGGAGGCAGCAGUAGGGAAUCUUCCACAAUGGGCGCAAGCCUGAUGGAGCAACACCGCGUGAGUGAAGAAGGGUUUCGGCUCGUAAAGCUCUGUUGUUGGAGAAGAACGUGCGUGAGAGUAACUGUUCACGCAGUGACGGUAUCCAACCAGAAAGUCACGGCUAACUACGUGCCAGCAGCCGCGGUAAUACGUAGGUGGCAAGCGUUAUCCGGAUUUAUUGGGCGUAAAGCGAGCGCAGGCGGUUGCUUAGGUCUGAUGUGAAAGCCUUCGGCUUAACCGAAGAAGUGCAUCGGAAACCGGGCGACUUGAGUGCAGAAGAGGACAGUGGAACUCCAUGUGUAGCGGUGGAAUGCGUAGAUAUAUGGAAGAACACCAGUGGCGAAGGCGGCUGUCUGGUCUGCAACUGACGCUGAGGCUCGAAAGCAUGGGUAGCGAACAGGAUUAGAUACCCUGGUAGUCCAUGCCGUAAACGAUGAGUGCUAGGUGUUGGAGGGUUUCCGCCCUUCAGUGCCGGAGCUAACGCAUUAAGCACUCCGCCUGGGGAGUACGACCGCAAGGUUGAAACUCAAAGGAAUUGACGGGGGCCCGCACAAGCGGUGGAGCAUGUGGUUUAAUUCGAAGCUACGCGAAGAACCUUACCAGGUCUUGACAUCUUGCGCUAACCUUAGAGAUAAGGCGUUCCCUUCGGGGACGCAAUGACAGGUGGUGCAUGGUCGUCGUCAGCUCGUGUCGUGAGAUGUUGGGUUAAGUCCCGCAACGAGCGCAACCCUUGUUACUAGUUGCCAGCAUUAAGUUGGGCACUCUAGUGAGACUGCCGGUGACAAACCGGAGGAAGGUGGGGACGACGUCAGAUCAUCAUGCCCCUUAUGACCUGGGCUACACACGUGCUACAAUGGACGGUACAACGAGUCGCAAGCUCGCGAGAGUAAGCUAAUCUCUUAAAGCCGUUCUCAGUUCGGACUGUAGGCUGCAACUCGCCUACACGAAGUCGGAAUCGCUAGUAAUCGCGGAUCAGCAUGCCGCGGUGAAUACGUUCCCGGGCCUUGUACACACCGCCCGUCACACCAUGGGAGUUUGUAACGCCCAAAGUCGGUGGCCUAACCUUUAUGGAGGGAGCCGCCUAAGGCGGGACAGAUGACUGGGGUG
Molecule: ribosomal RNA, 1498 nt
Filed under: Limosilactobacillus reuteri
Lineage: Bacteria; Bacillati; Bacillota; Bacilli; Lactobacillales; Lactobacillaceae
Description: Lactobacillus reuteri 16S ribosomal RNA
Rfam family: Bacterial small subunit ribosomal RNA
Source: RNAcentral